Molecule: long non-coding RNA, 2253 nt
Filed under: Marmota monax (woodchuck)
Lineage: Eukaryota; Metazoa; Chordata; Mammalia; Rodentia; Sciuridae
Source: RNAcentral
GGACGCUGCAGCUGGACAGCGAGUGGGGGCCUCAGAGUGCUGCGUGAGCUGAGGAACAGUCCUGGUGAGUCAAUCCCCACUUGGAGGAGAUGGAAAAUUUUACCCCGGAGGGAAGAAUAUACUUAGUAAUGUCCACGGGACUUCACCAGCCCAGAAACCCUCCGUGUUUCUAAGAAAACUUCGCUUACUAAUAUGAAGGAGGGACUUGAGCUUGAGGAUGUGAACUUUCCAGAAAGCAAAAACCACAGAGUGGGCAGAGCCCUGCUUCUCCUCCGCGUGCGGAUCGCUGGCUGCUCUGCGGUUAUUCCCAGGCUGGCACGUCUUGUCCACUGGGGUCCAAGAAGCGGAGGUCCGUGGGUAUUUCUGACUCUGCUGGAAGUUUCUGUUUUCUUGGAAAACAUGCCUGUGAUCUAGUGGACCAGACACCUCUGCUCUCCAAGCAGGGUCCACGGGGUGCUCAGGGUGCUGUUGACGACCCGUCCGGAUGGCUGCCAUGUGUGCGGGGCCCCAGCCCCCGUCUGUGGACAUGGGCACCAUUAUCGGGAUUGCUUGAAAAGGCUGAAGAUAACUGUCUAGUAUUUCUCCCUUUACUAAAAGUAUUUUAAACUGUGAAACAAUAAUAUUGGAGGAAUAAAUUAAAAAAAAUCAAACCACCACUCUGAUAUGCUUAUUUUUAAUUUCAAAAUAUUAAUAAAUAAAGUUCCAACACUCACCUUUUGAACGUGAAUGGCCUCAAAAACGAGUAAGGUCAACAGUCCUUUCUGAAUCCAGCGGCACCAAAGUCUUAACCCCUGGGGUCCCCCCUAUGAGUUUCUUCUUGUCUCCAAGAGACAGGGUUGGAGUAAGGCAUGGUCCCUCGAGGCCCUCCUGGGGUCAGUCACUGACAGGGGAGCAAUUGUCCCAGCUCUAGGCAACACCAACUGGGACCCCUUCCCUGGGGUGCACAACUCCUCCCUGGCCUCCUCUUGUCCACCCUGCCCCCCCAUCCACCAGCUCUGGACCCCCAGGCAGGUGACGAGCAGCUGCCCUGACUGUCCUCCAGGGUCUCCUGAAGUUGGCCUGCACCCCCCUCCCUCCCUGAGCACCGGGGGGCCUGUCACUCUGAAGGGAAGACUUCAGAGUUGAAGAGUGGCUGGGAAGGAUGGCAGGGGAGGGCGUGGGUCGUGUGCAUGGGCAUGAGACGCGGGUGAGUAGGUGGACGAGUGAGGGUGUGUGCGGGUUUGUGUGUGCACAGGUGUGUGUGACUGUGUAGGCUCACGUGUGAGCACAUGCCCGUGAGCACGUGUGUGUGAGCUGUGAGCUGCGAGGGGCUGCCUCACAGCCUAACUCCAGGCCCUGGCAGAACGGGAAUCCCAGACGCCCAGGUGCCCCACGGCCUUCAGCCCAGGUGACCGCCAAUGAGAACGUGGCAGAGGACGCCACGUCAGGAGGAGGAAUCAGCUCUGCGGGGCAUGGCCGGGAGCCUGGGUCGACUGGCCACGCUGCGCGUCUUUUUCUAAAGAAAAUUGGGUUGUCUGUCUGAAAUGGAGCUGGCAAACCAGACUCGGGGGUGCCCGACAGCUGGAGAGGGUUCCCACCUCUGUCCUGGGGCCUCCACCGUGAGCUGACCCACCGGCUGUCCCAGCUCAGUGUGCCCAUGACAGAUGUGGCCCUCUCAGCCGCCACAAUCACAUGAGCGAUUCCUGGGGGGACUCUGUCCACUCUGCUUCUCUGGAGAGCUCCGUCCAGAGCUCCCCUUCCUCUCCCACACUGCCCAGUGCUCUCGAGUGCUUGGUUGGGCCUCCUCGGCGGCCCCAGGCCCAGGCCGUCCUCACCUGGGGCCUCCAGCUGUGUGAGCUCCACUCCUUCCCACACACCCUCCUGUGGCUUCCAAAGCAGAGAGGGAACAUGUGGCAUUCUGAUCAGAACAUUCCGCUUCUCCUUCCACAGAGGACCUGUCGCUGUCCCCCACGACUGCACACGGGGCCCCCCUCGCCCAGCACCCAGCACCCACCCUCCCGGGGACGGCAGGCGUUUCCUCCGGAGCUCGGAAGGGCCACGAGUGGGCUGCUGUCUUCUCCCCGGCAGACCAGACCAUGUGCUGCAUGGGGUCACCGUGCCUCUGUCCCCUUCAGCACCCCCCAGUGUCACCCCAGGACAUGGAGUGACUAACUGGUGGGAACAAAGCAGAGUGUGUGAGGCCCAGAGUGGGAAGGGUCUGAAACCCCAGCUACUGCAGCCGAGAGAUGAAGAGGCCUUGGGCGUCCAGGACAC